CAGGGAAUUCCUCUAUGAAGCGGGCGUUGUGUGCAGCCGACGUGAUGAUAUUUUUGAUAGUUCAUUGUACACUUCUGUGGAUAACGUUUACUCCUUCAGGCGCUGCAGGAAUUUCUAAAGCAAAUGAAAACCUCCUGUGUGCAACAGCAGAGUGCUCGGAAAGAGCGAGACUCAUCAAUGCAUCCCUUAAUUCGACUGCUGACCGUUGUGAAGAUUUUUACUCGUACGCCUGUGGUGGGUGGCUAAAGCACCACAAUAUACCAGAGCGCCGUAUAGCGUUUGGUGUUUAUGACCAGUUUGAUCAAG
Long non-coding RNA from Dermacentor silvarum, 306 nucleotides. RefSeq lists it as uncharacterized. Lineage: Eukaryota; Metazoa; Arthropoda; Arachnida; Ixodida; Ixodidae. The record is from RefSeq and is a predicted model, not a curated record. The transcript is spliced from 3 exons.